UACAUGUGGGGCAAGCGUUGUUCGGAAUUACUGGGCAUAAAGGGUGCGUAGGCGGCUUGUUAAGUCAGGGGUGAAAGUUUUCGGCCCAACCGGAAAAUUGCCUUUGAUACUGGCGAGCUCGAGUGCGUGAGGGGUAGGGGGGAACGAGCAGUGUAGCGGUGAAAUGCGUAGAUAUUGCUCGGAAGGCCGGAGCCGAAGGGGCCCUACUGGUACGUAACUGACGCUGAGGCACGAAAGCGUGGGGAGCAAACAGG
RNAcentral lists this ribosomal RNA (254 nucleotides) under uncultured bacterium. RNAcentral describes it as "partial 16S ribosomal RNA". It matches the Rfam family "Bacterial small subunit ribosomal RNA", at positions 524 to 776 of the family's 1533-position model. The record is from RNAcentral.